This 88-nucleotide transfer RNA is filed under the name Gracilaria ornata. Its description in RNAcentral is "tRNA-Leu". It matches the Rfam family "tRNA". From Rfam's summary of the family: Transfer RNA (tRNA) molecules are approximately 80 nucleotides in length. Their secondary structure includes four short double-helical elements and three loops (D, anti-codon, and T loops). RNAcentral also lists the same sequence under 1 other name. Lineage: Eukaryota; Rhodophyta; Florideophyceae; Gracilariales; Gracilariaceae. The record is from RNAcentral.
UGGGGAUGUGGUGGAAUGGUAGACAUAACAGACUUAAAAUCUGUUGAUUUUUUAAUAAUCGUGAGGGUUCAAGUCCCUCCAUCCCCAA